CGCGGGGUAGAGCAGUCCGGUAGCUCGUCAGGCUCAUAACCUGAAAGUCGCAGGUUCAAAUCCUGCCCCCACAACCA
RNAcentral lists this transfer RNA (77 nucleotides) under Candidatus Endolissoclinum faulkneri L5. RNAcentral describes it as "tRNA-fMet (CAT) (tRNA-fMet-CAT-1-1)". It matches the Rfam family "tRNA". From Rfam's summary of the family: Transfer RNA (tRNA) molecules are approximately 80 nucleotides in length. Their secondary structure includes four short double-helical elements and three loops (D, anti-codon, and T loops). Further hydrogen bonds mediate the characteristic L-shaped molecular structure. tRNAs have two regions of fundamental functional importance: the anti-codon, which is responsible for specific mRNA codon recognition, and the 3' end, to which the tRNAs corresponding amino acid is attached (by aminoacyl-tRNA synthetases). tRNAs cope with the degeneracy of the genetic code in two manners: having more than one tRNA (with a specific anti-codon) for a particular amino acid; and 'wobble' base-pairing, i.e. permitting non-standard base-pairing at the 3rd anti-codon position. The record is from RNAcentral. Lineage: Bacteria; Pseudomonadati; Pseudomonadota; Alphaproteobacteria; Rhodospirillales; Rhodospirillaceae.